RNAcentral lists this ribosomal RNA (451 nucleotides) under uncultured bacterium. RNAcentral's name for it is "partial 16S ribosomal RNA". It matches the Rfam family "Bacterial small subunit ribosomal RNA", at positions 28 to 507 of the family's 1533-position model. The record is from RNAcentral.
GAUGAAUGCUGGCGGCGUGCCCAACACAUGCAAGUCGAGCGGCAGCGAGGGGUGCUUGCACCCUGUCGGCGAGCGGCGAACGGCUGAGUAACGCGUAGGAAUUUGCCCCAAAGUGAGGAAUAACUGCCCGAAAGGGUAGCUAAUGCCGCAUAUGGUCUUCGGAUUAAAGGAUUUAUCCGCUUUGGGAGAAGCCUGCGUUGGAUUAGGUUGUUGGUAGGGUAAUGGCCUACCAAGCCGACGAUCCAUAGCUGGUCUGAGAGGAUGAUCAGCCAGACUGGAACUGAGACACGGUCCAGACUCCUACGGGAGGCAGCAGUGAGGAAUCUUCAACAAUGGGCGAAAGCCUGAUGGAGCAACGCCGCGUGAAGGAUGAAGGCCCUCGGGUUGUAAACUUCUUUUAUGAGUGAAGAAUAUGACGGUAACUCGUGAAUAAGCACCGGCUAACUACGUG